Hyaena hyaena (striped hyena) is the source of this 1969-nucleotide long non-coding RNA. RefSeq lists it as uncharacterized. The transcript is spliced from 4 exons. The record is from RefSeq and is a predicted model, not a curated record. NCBI's taxonomy places the organism in Eukaryota, Metazoa, Chordata, Mammalia, Carnivora, Hyaenidae.
CAUUGGGUCUACAUUACAAGUUGUAGCAGAUGUUCUCAACAUUUCUAUGGAGACUUCCUUAUAUCCACUUGUGAGAGGAGCCUGAGAGCCUCAUUCCUAUGAUAGCUACCAUUCACUGAUAUAAGCUGUUGUUCACCAAGGAGCUUUGGGAAGAGAAUUGGCCAGAUCAGCAAGUUCAUCUCCAUUGUGAAAAAACAACUUCUGAAGCUCAUCUCUGUUGAAGGACUCAUUUUGAAUUACGGAGAUCAUGUUCUACCUGUAACCUCUUGUGGGAGGAUUUCCAAAAGAAUGUACUGUCUGUAGGACAGGGGUAGACUGAAUACCUGCUUCACUGAAUACCUGCUUCACAUCACCUUUCACAUUUUCUUAUUGGAAAGACAGCCGUUGGAGGAUCAUCUUGUUACCAUCAGCAAAAAUGCAAACAAAUCAAGACAUUAAGAAUGCCACAGUGGCCCGCAGUUAAUGAUGCAAGUGUUACACAAGCUUCAGCCAAGUUUUCAAGACAGUGUGCCUCACUAGUCAUAAAUCAGGAAAGAUUGAACCUAUCCUUUUUGUCUCAGCUGUUCCUUAAAUCAAUGCAACCCCUCCAAAUUAAUGUGAAUUGAAACAUGCAUUGUCUUUUCAGCUUAACUGAGUACUUACUAUGUGUGAAUCACUGCACAAAGUAGGGGAGAGAAGAUGAGGGAGACAGGAAAGAUGUGUUUCCUGCCUUCAAUGGAUUUAUGAUUACUUUUGGCUCUUAAUUAAGUGUGUCCCUAAGAUAGAAAACAAAUGAAUGGAAAAGUGUAUUCUGCAAGUAUUUUAAAUCCCUUUAAUAAAACAGAAAACAAACAAAACAGUCAAUGUGGGCAACUCAGGACAUCUUCCAUUUUUUUGGACUUUCAAUAGGUAGGAUUUAUUUCAUUGAUUUUAUAAAUAUUUAGUAGAUGUUAGAGAUACUAACACAUUAUAGUUGGAGUUAAUUGAAUUAAAUUCUUUUUUUUAACUGUCAGGUGUAGAUUAUCAGUUGGAAAAGUAUAUUGUGUUUGUACAUUUCUUGCAGAGUGGGUAGGUGAAUUACGCCUGUUGUCUUUGUAGACCUCUACCAUCUGUGCCCCAGGGGCCUGACAUUCUGAGUAAGUAAUUGGCUUGAGGAAGGGGAAGAUUUGGCUCAAAUUUGGGAAAGCUCAUGGACCCAAGAUAGGACAGGGAAGGAGCAAAACAGACCUAGGCAAUGACUCUGUAGGAAAAUUUGGCUGUUUUAGUAUUCAUUGUGUUAUCCUCUAUAUUCCAAAAUUAAUGUGUAGUUUUUUCAAAUACUUAUUUCUGAUCUGGGAAUAAGUCAUGAUUUUUCCAAUGUUAAGACAGUAAUAUGACUGUAGACACUUGACAUUUUAUGUAUGUAACACAUUUUAGUAUGUACGAACCAAUAAUAGACACGUCUUUGUCUUCAGCAGUGUCCAUCUGAAUUGAAAAUGUGCCAGCUUUUUAAAAAAAAAUCAUUAUCAACAGACUUCUUAAUUAAGCUGCCAAUACAUACUGCCAAUAGCACUAUGUGCCAUUUGAGAAAUGAAUCAUGUGAGUGCUGUUUCCCUCUUACUGAAAAAAACAAUGAUGCUCCAUAGAAAAUAGAUUUAAAGUGUUCUUUGAAUAGGAAAUUACAUUGCUCCCUAAAGAGUUUGAUGAGAAUUCUCAUACCUUCCUUUUUUACUUAAUUUCCAAAAACUUUUAUUUGCUCUUCAGUAAGGAAUAGUUCUAAUUUGACCCAUAACUUUAGUUAUAUGAUUCAUCCUUAGGAGGAAGAAUUGUCCAGCCCCCAAACUCCUGAUGGUGAUAUUGGAUGUUUGUUAAUCCAAGUUACAAAACUAUAUUGUAUGAAAUUGUAGAUAUUUAUUUUCUAUUCUGGGAAAUUUUUUGGAGGGACCAUGUCUGUGUUCCUGGAACCUAGCACAGUACCUGGUGCAUAGUAAGUACAUGUUGAGUAAAGAUU